This 84-nucleotide long non-coding RNA is filed under the name Jaculus jaculus (lesser Egyptian jerboa). RNAcentral's name for it is "Deleted in lymphocytic leukemia 2 conserved region 5 (ENSJJAG00000005604.1)". It matches the Rfam family "Deleted in lymphocytic leukemia 2 conserved region 5". The record is from RNAcentral. Lineage: Eukaryota; Metazoa; Chordata; Mammalia; Rodentia; Dipodidae.
AUCAUGUUCCAAAGUAUUAUGUACGUAUUCAAUCAAAGAAGGUAGCUUGUUUUCCAGGACAGGCCCUCUUCUAAAGGUCAAAAC